Long non-coding RNA from Megalopta genalis, 388 nucleotides. RefSeq lists it as uncharacterized. The record is from RefSeq and is a predicted model, not a curated record. Lineage: Eukaryota; Metazoa; Arthropoda; Insecta; Hymenoptera; Halictidae.
UUCACCAAGCCGAGCACCGUACAGUGUCAAAUUGUGAAAAACCGAAUAUUUCCGACACAUUGUCUUAUUUCAAUGGAAUCUGGGAGCGAGUCAAAGCAUAGUGGAAUUCACAAAGAAUGGUUAAGAAGGACCAUUUUGACCUACAACGCGGACGUCUUUGACGGUUUUCUCACUCUACUGCUUUAGCAACUUGAUUAAACCGACACAAAAGAAUACGGCCCGCGUUCGUUUUCUUUCAAUUCGACAUGGUUCUAAACCUGAAGCAAUGAAAGCUUCUGCCGAAAUUGAAAACUGUAGGACAGGUCCGGGAGAGGAACAGUGAAAUCGCUCUGGGACAAUUGAGGAGAAUUUGCUGCACCUACAAUAAAAGCUCGAUGAUCCUAACCUA